CGGCCGCGCCGUGGCGAUUUGUUACCCGAUUGCGGGCCACGUUAAUCCAUCCGCUAAAGAGGUCUGGGUGCACCCCCG
This 78-nucleotide non-coding RNA is filed under the name Paracoccaceae bacterium. The record is from RNAcentral. Lineage: Bacteria; Pseudomonadati; Pseudomonadota; Alphaproteobacteria; Rhodobacterales; Paracoccaceae.